Molecule: long non-coding RNA, 646 nt
Filed under: Brassica napus (rape)
Lineage: Eukaryota; Viridiplantae; Streptophyta; Magnoliopsida; Brassicales; Brassicaceae
Description: long non-coding RNA (BNAP_LNC026208)
Source: RNAcentral
GUCAUUUUUUACGUGCUAGUAUUAGUACGAUGUUGAUAAAAAAAAAGUAUUAGUAUGAUGCUGUUGGAGAUCUAGAAAGUUGAAUUGUCGCGGAUGCUUUAGGAAGAUUUUUUAAUGCCUUAUAUUUUUAGUUUGUUUGCCAUAGUCCAAAGUUACCGAUCACGUUUUUUAUAGCUUCAGUUCUCGUCUUCGUAAUUUUUGAAAAAGAAGCUGUAGUUUAAUUAAAAAAAAAAUGUAGUUGAAUUUCAUUUAUUAUGAAAUCUGAAAUAAAAAAUCGAGACCAUGGAAAUACAUAUUGUGCUCAAAUUAUUAAAAAAGACAAAUUUAUUCAUUUUCUUGUAAUAAAAGCAUGUGUCAUACCAAUUGUCUAGGUUUUGUUUAUAACUCAAUGUCUAUGAUCUUAAUUUGUCCCUACAACAUAGGUUUUUAAAAUUUAAAUGUAGACAUGAGUAAAAAAAUAUUCGAAGGACAUGGUAUGGAGUUAGAGUUACCAUUAAUAUGUUUUAUUUAAUGAUUUAGCUGAGAGCAUAGAAAUUAAAAGAAAAUUAUGUAAUGUAAAAAAAAUAUAUAAUGUGAACUUAAGCUUGUAAGAAAUAGAAGGAUUAUAAGGUAGAUCACUUGAGUAACUACUCUGUGCGAGCCUUCU